CAUGUUAUCGAUGCAUCAUCGUAAUUUUAAUUAGCUGGUUUUGCAUUGAAGUUGACAUGAAAUUUCAGGUCAAAUUCUGGGAAAUGGGGUUCUGCUUAAAGUGCCACAUCUUGCUUCCAUCACUAUUAAGAAUGAUAAACAAACGCGUACUUAUGGAAAAUUUGUAAUUUUCUGCAACUUCGAGCAACCUUCAUAUCAUCGAAUAGUACUCUAAACACGCUUUGUUCUUUGUUUUGUCUCUAUCCACGUGGUCUCGCUCUCUCACCCUCUCGAGAAAUACUGUGAUUUUUUUAGUACUUUUCAAUCAGGACGCGUUUGAUUAGUCAUCUAUCUGAAAUUCCAAUGCCUGAGAAUCCUGAAAAUAUUUGUUCUUUUCUCUCUUUCCUUAAAAAAAUGAGACAAAAAAAACGCAGACAGUCAUCGAUCAAACCAAACAUAAAAGUCGAGCAACUUUGGUGCUACCUAAAGUAAUAAUAUCUUAAUACAAAUCUUGGGUUCUUGCUAGUUUAGAGCGUGAGUUAAGUAAGAGCAGCUCCAGCGGGAGCUCGUGCUCGAGGGACAGGCUGCGGAACAGGGCUUGAUUGCCCGAGGGAGGAAGCCGAAUGUUGGCUGGCGAGCGAGCCCGAGCAGUCCCGAGAGAGGCCUGUGGAUUCGUACCGGCCCGAACACCCGUUUUUCAGUUGGAUUGGAUUUGAAAAUUUGGGUUUUUGAUUUUGAUAUGCAAAAAGCAAGAGAUCGAAGAAGAAAGAUAAACAAGCGCAGAUUUUAUUUGAUUUGGGAUAUUAAAAUAUCUGCACCUGCUAUUAAUGGGAAGGUGAUGGAGGGAUGAUAUAUAGUGGUCACCGAUAUUGAUACACGACACCGACAGGCAUAUACGCGUGAACGCGUUAAUCGUUAUUUUUUUCUUAUUUUAUAAAUAAAAAAAAGUUAAUAUUCUGUUUAGGACGGAGAUGAAAAGACAAUUACUGAUUAUGAUUAAGUAAAGUAUUAUUUACUGAUGGAUUAAAUAGUGAAUACGCUGGGACCUUUCCACGGUGGAACUGCUCGAAUCUUUGCCUGACCUUCAAGGUUUGGCGUGUUUAUGGUCUGUACGAAGAACCUUCUGCAAUCAAAAGGUCAAUCCAAGAUUGUAUAUUUAGAUACAAAUCUUGGGUUCUUGCUAGCUGCUGUUCGAAAUCUUGUGUACUUUUCAGAUACUAAACUAUAUUAAAAUAGCUGCUAGCUGCUAGCUGCUGUUUUCGGGCGGGUUUUUGAUGGUGCUCAAGAGGCAUUUUCGUGACGACGAGGGAAGCGAGGACGUCGAGUUUCCGGUUCCAGAAUCCAAAAGGAGGCCUAAUUUUAGGGAGUGGGUGGUUUAGUUUGAGUGAAAGUUUGGUGCUUUUUGGUUGAUUGAAUUCGUAUUUUUGACUUCUGGGUUUUUGUGAUGCUUGUUGUGCAGUGUUGUUAGGGAUGUGAUGAGAGACGCCACGCUGAAUGAACGCGAGUCGGAACGCUUUCGGAGAAUUGUAAGUUCAAAUCUCCGUUCUUGUCUACACGAAUGAAUCUGAGCUCAAGCUUGAGGCUUAAGAAAUCAUUCCGUCGUAGUUUUCGUGUAUAAUUCGGCAGUAACAUAGAAGUUUAAGGUUUGAUUUUGCUUUGUUUCCUCGAUUUUAAUGGCUUCGAAUAAGAAGACGGGUUGAGUAGCUGCUAACAUGUUUGACUGUUUAAAUGCUGUUUUUUAACAUUUAGAACUUGAAUUUGUUCGAAAUCUUUUCCUGGUGAGGUCUCUUGAGUUCAUUGUUGAUGUAUCUUUGUCGCGUGUAGGUGCGAGAGGAGGUGGAGCGCGGUAUUCUUCCCUUCCUCAUGUCAUCUCCAAGGUUAGCUUUUCGAUCAAAUGUUUGUUUUCUAUAAAAUAACGAAGGUCUUAUAAUUUUUUCUUAAUCACAAAGCUUCCAAUUGCUGAUAUAAUCUACAUGAUAAACACGCAGUGUAUCCAGGCCGCCGCUGGAAAGUGGGAGUGCUUCUGGAGGAUGUGGCUUGCAGUUGCGUUUUAUCAACAAGCUGCCAAGUACCAUAUUCACAGGCAGUAAGGUGGAAGCAGAGAAUGGCACGCCUCUUCAAAUUGAACUAGUCGAUGCCAGUACCGGUGCUAUAGUCCGUUCCGGUCCCCUAUCUUCGCUAAAGAUUGAACUUCUUGUCGUGAAUGGUGAGUUCGGGUCUGAUGAUCAAGAGGAUUGGACCGAACAAGAAUUCAACAACUACAUUGUUCGCGCAAGGGAUGGCAGGAGGCCAUUAGUGACGGGCGAGACACAUGUUACACUAAGAGAGGGAGUUGGUUUUGUUGGUGAUGUUGUGUUUACUGACAACUCAAGCUGGACAAGAAGCCGAAAGUUCAGACUAGCAGCUCGAGUUGUGGCCAAAUCUCCGAGUGAAGUACGAAUUAGAGAAGCUAGAAGUGAACCGUUUGUGGUUAAAGAUCACCGUGGAGAAUGUAAAGGUCGUAUCAAGUGCACAAGACUCCCGCUUUACGCAGGGUCUAGGAGAGGUGAAUGUCGGCUAGCCUUACCCCCAUUUAAGUUCACAAAAACUUAACUCUCCACUCUUUGAUCUUUACUAAAAUAUAGACAAUUUUGGCAUUGAACUAAACGAAACUGACCUAGAAAAUGUUGAUUCAGUGUAUAAGAAGCACUACCCUCCACACCUAAACGAUGAAAUAUGGCGCCUGGAAAUGAUAGCAAAAGACGGAGCCUUCCAUAAGAGUCUGUGCGAGAAUGGAAUCAGCACAGUGGAGGACUUCCUGCAGUUGUACAUGAGAGAUGCAUCCUUGCUACGAAAUGUAAGAGAAUCAUUUGUUCUCCUGCGCAGUGUGCCUACUGUAGUUUAUGCCCGUCGUUUAAUCUAUAUCUAAUUUCUGCUGCGAAAAUGUAGGCUUUCGGUGUGAUCUCGAACAAGAUAUGGGAAACAAUCAUAAAGCAUGCUAUGGCCUGUAAGUUGGAUGACCAUAAGCGCUAUGCCUAUCAUCGAGCUGAGCACGAUGUAAGUCUCAUGUUCAAUUCCGUUCACAGGCUUGUAGGGGCAAUAAUCAAUGGCCAGUUCUGUUCUCUGGAUGAACUCGACGCGCAUCAGAAGGUACGCCUACCAUGUAUUUUCGAGCUCCUUUGCAUUUUCUAAUCUCCCACGCGCAUUAUUGAUCUGCCUUCAUUUUUCGGUUGCUAUAAGUUGGUUCCGAAGACAAAGAAUUGUUGCAUGAUUGAUGGAGCAAACUUUAAAAUAUUCCUUGGGGGUAAAGAAACUGAUGAGCUCCCUGGUUAUGUUUGCAGAUGCUGGUGGAAACUCUGAAACAGCAUGCUUAUCGAAAUGUAAGAGAUUUGGUCCCCAUCGAUGUUUCGACUAUAUUUGGCCUUUCGAGGCCCUUGCCAUGUCCCCAAGCUGAACAAUUCAAAAAUCAAUUAGCAAUAAGAGGGAGAGACCCCACGCUGAAUGAACGCGAGUCGGAACGCUUCUUUCGGAGAAUUGUAAGUUCAAAUCUCCGUUCUUGUCUACACGAAUGAAUCUGAGCUCAAGCUUGAGGCUUAAGAAAUCAUUCCGUCGUAGUUUUCGUGUAUAAUUCUGCAGAAACAUAGACUUUUAAAGUUUGAUUUUCCUUUGUUUCCUCGAUUUUAAUGACUUCGAUUAAGAAGACGGGUUGAGUAGCUGCUAACAUGAAAACUAGGAUUGACUGUUAGGUUUGGUUUCAUUAGCCCUCUUGUAAUAGAAAACAAGAACACAUGUUUGACUGUUUAAACGCUGUUUUUUAACAUUUAGAACUUGAAUUUGUUCGAAAUCUUUUCCUGGUGAGGUCUCUUGAGUUCAUUGUUCAUGUAUCUUUGUCGCGUGUAGAUGCGAGAGGAGGUGGAGCGCGGUAUUCUUCCCUUCCUCAUGUCAUCUCCAAGGUUAGCUUUUCGAUCAAAUGUUUGUUUUCUAUAAAAUAACGAAGGUCUUAUAAUUUUUUCUUAGUCACAAAGCUUCCAGUUGCUGAUAUAAUCUACAUAAAAAACACGCAGCGUAUCCAGGCCGCCGCUGGAAAGUGGGAGUGCUUCUGGAGGAUGUGGCUUGCAGUUGCGUUUUAUCAACAAGCUGCCAAGUACCAUAUUCACAGGCAGUAAGGUGGAAGCAGAGAAUGGCACGCCUCUUCAAAUUGAACUUGUCGAUGCCAGUACUGGUGCUAUAGUCCGUUCCGGUCCCCUAUCUUCGCUAAAGAUUGAACUUCUUGUCGUGAAUGGUGAGUUCGGGUCUGAUGAUCAAGAUGAUUGGACCGAACGAGAAUUCAGCACCUACAUUGUUCGCGCAAGGGAUGGCAACAUGCCAUCAGUGACGGGUGAGAUACAUGUUACACUAAGAGAGGGAGUUGGUUUUGUCGGUGAUGUUGUGUUUACUGACAACUCGGGCUGGAUAAGAAGCCAAACGUUCAGACUAGCAGCUCGAGUUGUGGCCAAAUCUUCGAGUGAAGUACGAAUUAGAGAAGCUAGAAGUGAACCGUUUGUGGUUGGAGAAUGUAAGUUCACAAAAACUUAACUCACUACUCUUUGAUCUUUACUAAAAUAUAGACAAUUUUGGCAUUGAACUAAACGAAACUGACCUAGAAAAUGUUGAUUCAGUUUAUAAGAAGCACUAUCUACACCUAAACGAUGAAAUAUGGUGCCUGCAAAAGAUAGCAAAAGACGGAGCCUUCCAUAAGAGACUCUGCGAGAAUGGAAUCAGCACAGUCGAGGACUUCCUGCAGUUGUACAUGAGAGAUGCAUCCUUGCUACGAAAUGUAAGAGAAUCAUUUGUUCUGCUACGCAGUGUGCCUACGGUAGUUUAUGCCCGUCGUUUAAUCUAUAUCUAUCUAAUUUUCUGCUGCGAAAAUGUAGGCUUUCGGUGUGAUCUCGAACAAGUUAUGGGAAACAAUCAUAGAGCAUGCUAUGACCUGUAAGUUGGAUGACCAUAGGUUCUAUGCCUUCCAUGGAGCUGAGGGGGAUGUAAGUCUCAUUUUCAAUUCCAUCCACAGGCUUGUAGCGGCAAUAAUCAAUGGCCAGUUCUGUUUUCUGCAUGAACUCCACGUGCAUCAGAUGGUACGCGUAUUAUGCAUUUUCAAACUCCUUUGCAUUUUCUAAUCUCCCACGCGUAUUCUUGAUCUGCCUUCAUUUUUCGGUUGCUAUAACUUGGUUCCGAAGACAAAGAACUGUUGCAUGAUUGAUGGAGCAAACUUUAAAAUAUUCCUUGGGGGUAAAGAAACUGAUGAGCUCCCUGGUUAUGUUUGCAGAUGCUGGUGGAAACUGUGAAGCAGCAUGCUUAUCAAAAUGUAAAAGAUUUGAUCCCUGUCGAUGCUUCGACUAUAUUUGGCCUUUCGAGGCCCUUGCCAUGUCCACAAACUGAGCAAUUCACCAGUCCAAACCCUGAUCUGCAACAAAUUCAAUUUCAGUUCACACAUCAAGGUAAAUGUUACUUUGUGUAUAAGGUAUAAUACGCUGACAAAUCUAAAGUCCCACAUCGGAAACCUGAUAAAAUAAAAUGCAGCUUAGGGAUAGUAUCGUCGUUGAUUAGUAGUAUGUGUUGGUCCGUCUCUCUAAAAUCUUAACAUUAUGGCAUGUUCUGCCUUACGUAUGCUUUUCCAAGUAACUAAAAACCAAGUAAUUUUUCACAGAUGAACUCCCAAUACAACUAGGUUUCAACCACGGAUCAGCUUCAACCUCAUCUGCCUACCAAGCAGCAGGAAGCAGCAAUCAGUUAAUGGUUUCUCUAGCACAAAGCCAACCAAUGCAACUCCGAAGCAACAGCUUUUCGGUGGGGGACUCUAACUCCGUCAUCUACAGUGGAGAAAGCAGUUCGCCGCCUUUCGGUGGUUUCCAAGCGCCAAUUCUCCCAACCGGUCAUUUAGGGACAGAAAACCUUUUCCAGGUCGAAGCAUCAACUUUGUCUCCUGCAAACCCAAUAUGGGGACAAGCAGGCGACUUCUACUUCACUUCAGGUAGCGAAGCAGAAGCUAGACGGAAAGCCAAGGCAUGCUGGUGCAAGCUUCGUGCCGCCGUUAAGUGGAUGUCGGUUAGGAGGCAUAUGACUGCAAGGCCUUCUACGUAUCUGAACUUUUUAUAAGAAAUGUAGUUUCAUCUUCCCUGUUUUAGUUUGCUAAUUACUAUUUACUAGCUGUAGAAAGCAAGCAAUUACCUAGAGGUAAAAGGGGUAAAAAUAUCUCCUAGUCCUAGAUGUGCUAAGCUUAGUAGCUCAUAGGUUUUACUUUUCUGCAGUUAAUUGAUCAUAUUGUACAUAGUGUCAAACUGAUCUAUGUAAAAUUCGGUUUUUGAAAAGAAAUACAGAAUAAAAAUUACUGCUCUAUGUAUUUUACUUAGCUGUCACUUUCACCGCAAGGAACUGCGUAAAUUUUUAUGAUCAUCGUAAAUCUAUUUGGUCAUAACAGCAUAACGUGGUGUGUACUAGUAUGUUAAAGGAAACAGGGCGAUACUAAUUUAAGAUUCUAACUAAAUAAGUAUGAAAGUGAAGCGUGAAACGUACAAUACGUUGAUCAAACUAAUGAGACUUUUGUUUGUUACGCAUUUUUAUUAGCAAUAUUUUUUUUGUCGAGCAUCGUAAAAAACGCUUUUGAUCAUUUGAAAGUAAAUAUGGGGCCAACUCCGUAUUCAAAUAGGCCUAAGAAUCCCACAAUUGAGAACCCGACAUACCUGGACCUUCAGACAAAGCCCAAUGGCAGAGAGCCGUAAUUCAAGUUAACUUCAGACCCUUUUCUGAAUAUUACAAAGAAAAUAUCUAGCCGCCCGGCGGACGGAGUCAGUUUUCGUGCACACGAAAUGAAAUUCUCGAACCUUCCCCCUCCGUACUGUAACCAGCCGAGCUGCCUCCUCACCGGGCAGCACAUCGACCUCCAAACCCACCUCCGCCCUCACGCAUUCCAAGAACUCAGCUUUGUUCACGGCUUCGCGCACGGCAGCGGUCGCGACGCAGCGGACAUGGGGUUUGCUGGUUUUGUAGGAUUUCAGGAUUUUCUGAAACUUUUUGAGGGAUUCGAGAGCAAGGAGGUGGGAGUGGUGCGAGAGGGCAAAAGGGGUUGGUGUUGAUGACGAUGAGAUGGUGUCGCGGCCGAGAACCACCGGCUCUUUGAAUUGGUCGAUGGUGAAGAAUUUGGGUAUGCUCGGACUAUGAGCAGCUUGAAGGAGUUGGUGCCCAUGUCAAUGGCUGCCAAGAGGGUUGAAAGGGUCUCUGCGUCCGGCGUAGGGGAGGCCAUUGCUGUUGGUAGCAAUUGGUAUCUGGGUUUUCAAUUUGGUGGGAAAAUUUGUACAGGUACGAACUGAGAAAAGCUUCUUCCUUUUUUGUUUGUAUUGGUUUUAAACUAUUUUUCUGAAGCUCUUUUUUUGAAGUAAUAUUGAAGCUAGUGGAUUUUUAUUUUCUUCAUGAUUUGAUAUGUCUUCUGAGUUUUGGCUAACAACAUUUGAUUAAUUUUGAUAAUUAAAUGUUAAACAACAAAAUAAUCUUUAAGCUCGUUUCAAAGUGCUUUUAUGACUCGUUUAGAAUUAUUUUUAAAAUAAUUGAAAAUGUUUUUAGCAAAAAUGUUUUUAGAUUUUAAAAACACUUAAAGUGUUUCGUACAUGAAACACAUAACUGAUGUUACAGAAAACACUUUUAAGUUUUAAGUGAUUUUUUUAAGGUUUCACUUGUAUUUUUAUUCAGCAUUGAUUUUAAAAAUAUUUUUAAACGAUUUUAGUUAUUUUAAAAGCAAAAACAAGUUUUUAAAAUGAUUAAAAGAAUGUUUAAUGAAAAUAUUUUUAAAAUCAAUUCUUACUAUGAAAGUAAAUCUUGAAACAACAUAUGAUCACUUCAAGAAGUGAUCACGUGCCUUAUGAAUUCAAAAACAUUUCAUCUAAAAACGUAUGUAGUCAUUUUAAAAGUACCUCUAAAUAAACGUUUUUUUAUACUUGAUUUGUUCUGUGACAAACAAUAAUUACAUUACUAUAGUCUACUAUGAUGAUAAAGAACAUUUGAAUUUUAGUGUAAAGCUACGCAUUGCUCAAACUAACUCGUUAUAUUUGUUUUUACAUUUUUAUAUUAUCUUUCUUUUAGAAUAUUUUUUUUAUAUCAUAUUCUUUUAGAAUUUUAAGUCAAAUCAGUAACAUAACUUCUUGUGAUUAGGAGCAUUAACAAAGUGGAUUAAAAAGUGGUUAGUCAAAAUUGAUGCCUUGCUUGCAUCAGAACUCAGAACAGUACAUAAAAAAGUCUCCCUGGGUCCGGGGACGACUUGGGGAAAGGUAAGUCUCCGGCUCCAGUUCCACAUACAUUCCCUUCCACAUACAUUCCCAGAACUUUCCCGGAAAACCAGAUUCCCGGAAAGUUUCGCAGAACCUGCAUCAUGCAAACUCCACCAACCACCAAAUCAAUCAAGUGAACUACCUUUCAAGCCUCAACAGUCUCACUCAAAGACUCAGGUUUUUUAAUCUUUUGCUUCUCUUUUCUGCUUUCUGCUCGCAAUAAAAAUCAACCCUUUACAUGUGGACAGAUAAAGAUUGUGACAUACUGAAGUUAGUGGAAGCUGCAUGCGGAUAAUUAUGAUUUCAAGUUGUUAGAUAUGGUUUCGAUAAGUCGUUAAUAACAUUGACCAAAUAUUUGAAUAACGUGACGUGUUGACAUGAUAACAUUGACAAAUAUUUGAAUAACAUGACGUGUUGACAUGUUAUCGAUGUAUCAUCGUAAUUUUAAUUAGCUGGUUUUGCAUCGAAGUUGACAUGAAAUUUCAGGUCAAAUUCCGGGAAAUGGGGUUCUGCUUAAAGUGCCACAUCUUGCUUCCAUCACUAUUAAGAAUGAUAAACAACGCGUACUUAUGGAAAAUUUGUAAUUUUCUGCAACUUCUAGCAACCUUCAUAUCAUCGAAUAGUACUCUAAACACGCUUUGUUCUUUGUUUUGUCUCUAUUCACGUGGAAUCGCUCUCUCACCCUCUCGAUAAAUUUUUCAAUGUAACCAGAAUAGGAUCUAGAACAUCAUAUGUCAUAAUACAAGUGGAGG
RNAcentral lists this long non-coding RNA (9007 nucleotides) under Malus domestica (apple). RNAcentral's name for it is "long non-coding RNA (MDOM_LNC011622)". The record is from RNAcentral. Lineage: Eukaryota; Viridiplantae; Streptophyta; Magnoliopsida; Rosales; Rosaceae.